GGUUAAAGGUACCCGUACCGCAAACCGACACAGGUGGGUGAGGAGAGUAUCCUAAGGCCAGCGAGAGAACUGUUGUUAAGGAACUCGGCAAAAUGACCCCGUAACUUAGGGAUAAGGGGUGCCACCAUCAGGUGGCCGCAGAGAAUAGGCCCAAGCGACUGUUUACCAAAAACAUAGGUUUCUGCUAAGUCGCAAGACGAUGUAUAGGAGCUGACGCCGGCCCGGUGCUGGAAGGUUAAGGGGAUCUGUUAGAGCAAUCGAAGCAGUGAACUUAAGCCCCAGUAAACGGCGGCCGUAACUAUAACGGUCCUAAGGUAGCGAAAUUCCUUGUCGGGUAAGUUCCGACCCGCACGAAAGGC
This 359-nucleotide ribosomal RNA is filed under the name Clostridioides difficile. RNAcentral's name for it is "bacterial LSU rRNA". It matches the Rfam family "Bacterial large subunit ribosomal RNA", at positions 1630 to 2000 of the family's 2925-position model. The record is from RNAcentral. Lineage: Bacteria; Bacillati; Bacillota; Clostridia; Peptostreptococcales; Peptostreptococcaceae.